CUGCGAGGAUCUUCCAGGCUUGGGAUGAGUCCUAGGGCUGGCUCUGCCUUUGGAGGCCAUGUGACCUUGGACACCGUUGUCCCCUCUGAGCCUCUAUGCCUUCAUCUGUAAGGUGGAAGUAAUUGUGUCUACUUGGUGGAGCUGCUGUGGACGUGAAAACCCACCCCUGUGGGUGGAGAGCUGGGCACUUCUUAGAUCUCCACUAAAUACCAGCUGCAGAGCAGAACAGGGGGCCCUUCUGCUGGCUGAUGCACCCCUCCACAGGUGGUUCCACUGGACCCCAGUAGGGGAAGGGCCCGGGGCAUGGCGGGCUCAGAAUAUCCAGAAAUCUGAGGUACCUGAAGAGGACUCAUCCCCCAAACAAGCUAUCUGGGCCACCUUGACAACCCUGAGGGCUACAGCUGAGGCAUCCGGGUCCUUCAGGGAAGCAUCGAGGAGGUGGCCAUCAGGAGGGAAGGAAGCCAGUCUGGACUGAGCCCUCGCCGCUGGCUAAGUGCUGAGGAUGCCUCCUCUCUCUCCGUGGCCUCUCUGCAUGUCAUCCUCUUUGCAGAUGAGGACGCAAACUCAGUCAAGGCAAGUAACGUCCUAAGGGUGUAG
This 597-nucleotide long non-coding RNA is filed under the name Chinchilla lanigera (long-tailed chinchilla). RNAcentral's name for it is "lncRNA (ENSCLAG00000025859.1)". Lineage: Eukaryota; Metazoa; Chordata; Mammalia; Rodentia; Chinchillidae. The record is from RNAcentral.